This 468-nucleotide ribosomal RNA is filed under the name uncultured bacterium. Its description in RNAcentral is "bacterial SSU rRNA". It matches the Rfam family "Bacterial small subunit ribosomal RNA", at positions 328 to 794 of the family's 1533-position model. The record is from RNAcentral.
GUGCCAGACUCCUACGGGAGGCAGCAGUGAGGAAUAUUGGUCAAUGGCCGAGAGGCUGAACCAGCCAAGUCGCGUGAGGGAUGACGGCCCUACGGGUUGUAAACCUCUUUUGUCGGGGAGCAAAGAGAGUCACGUGUGGCUCAUUGAGAGUACCCGAAGAAAAAGCAUCGGCUAACUCCGUGCCAGCAGCCGCGGUAAUACGGAGGAUGCGAGCGUUAUCCGGAUUUAUUGGGUUUAAAGGGGGCGCAGGCGGAGGUGCAAGUCAGUGGUCAAAUUGCGGGGCUCAACCCCGUACUGCCGUUGAAACUGGCUGUCUUGAGAUGUCGAGAGGUAUGCGGAAUGCGCAGUGUAGCGGUGAAAUGCUUAGAUAUUGCGCAGAACUCCGAUUGCGAAGGCAGCAUACCGGCGCUCAACUGACGCUCAUGCACGAAAGUGUGGGUAUCGAACAGGAUUAGAUACCCGUGUAGC